UCAUUUUGCAUCUCGGCAAUCUCUUUCUGAUUGUCCAGUUGCAUUUUAGUAAGCUCUUUUUGAUUCUCAAAUCCGGCGUCAACCAUACCAGCAGAGGAAGCAUCAGCACCAGCACGCUCCCAAGCAUUAAGCUCAGGAAAUGCAGCAGCAAGAUAAUCACGAGUAUCCUUUCCUUUAUCAGCGGCAGACUUGCCACC
Molecule: ribosomal RNA, 197 nt
Filed under: uncultured prokaryote
Description: partial 16S ribosomal RNA
Source: RNAcentral